GACGAACGCUGGCGGCGUGCUUAACACAUGCAAGUCGAACGGAAAGGCCCUGCUUUUGUGGGGUGCUCGAGUGGCGAACGGGUGAGUAACACGUGAGUAACCUGCCCUUGACUUUGGGAUAACUUCAGGAAACUGGGGCUAAUACCGGAUAGGAGCUCCUGCUGCGUGGUGGGGGUUGGAAAGUUUCGGCGGUUGGGGAUGGACUCGCGGCUUAUCAGCUUGUUGGUGGGGUAGUGGCUUACCAAGGCUUUGACGGGUAGCCGGCCUGAGAGGGUGACCGGCCACAUUGGGACUGAGAUACGGCCCAGACUCCUACGGGAGGCAGCAGUGGGGAAUAUUGCACAAUGGGCGGAAGCCUGAUGCAGCAACGCCGCGUGCGGGAUGACGGCCUUCGGGUUGUAAACCGCUUUCGCCUGUGACGAAGCGUGAGUGACGGUAAUGGGUAAAGAAGCACCGGCUAACUACGUGCCAGCAGCCGCGGUGAUACGUAGGGUGCGAGCGUUGUCCGGAUUUAUUGGGCGUAAAGGGCUCGUAGGUGGUUGAUCGCGUCGGAAGUGUAAUCUUGGGGCUUAACCCUGAGCGUGCUUUCGAUACGGGUUGACUUGAGGAAGGUAGGGGAGAAUGGAAUUCCUGGUGGAGCGGUGGAAUGCGCAGAUAUCAGGAGGAACACCAGUGGCGAAGGCGGUUCUCUGGGCCUUUCCUGACGCUGAGGAGCGAAAGCGUGGGGAGCGAACAGGCUUAGAUACCCUGGUAGUCCACGCUGUAAACGGUGGGUACUAGGUGUGGGGUCCAUUCCACGGGUUCCGUGCCGUAGCUAACGCUUUAAGUACCCCGCCUGGGGAGUACGGCCGCAAGGCUAAAACUCAAAGGAAUUGACGGGGCCCCGCACAAGCGGCGGAGCAUGCGGAUUAAUUCGAUGCAACGCGUAGAACCUUACCUGGGUUUGACAUGGAUCGGGAGUGCUCAGAGAUGGGUGUGCCUCUUUUGGGGUCGGUUCGCAGGUGGUGCAUGGCUGUCGUCAGCUCGUGUCGUGAGAUGUUGGGUUAAGUCCCGCAACGAGCGCAACCCUUGUUCACUGUUGCCAGCACGUUAUGGUGGGGACUCAGUGGAGACCGCCGGGGUCAACUCGGAGGAAGGUGGGGAUGACGUCAAGUCAUCAUGCCCCUUAUGUCCAGGGCUUCACGCAUGCUACAAUGGCUGGUACAGAGAGUGGCGAGCCUGUGAGGGUGAGCGAAUCUCGGAAAGCCGGUCUCAGUUCGGAUUGGGGUCUGCAACCCGACCUCAUGAAGUCGGAGUCGCUAGUAAUCGCAGAUCAGCAACGCUGCGGUGAAUACGUUCCCGGG
This 1343-nucleotide ribosomal RNA is filed under the name uncultured bacterium. RNAcentral's name for it is "16S ribosomal RNA". It matches the Rfam family "Bacterial small subunit ribosomal RNA", at positions 28 to 1378 of the family's 1533-position model. The record is from RNAcentral.